RNAcentral lists this ribosomal RNA (697 nucleotides) under Salmonella enterica. Its description in RNAcentral is "bacterial SSU rRNA". It matches the Rfam family "Bacterial small subunit ribosomal RNA", at positions 825 to 1522 of the family's 1533-position model. The record is from RNAcentral. RNAcentral also lists the same sequence under 1 other name. Lineage: Bacteria; Pseudomonadati; Pseudomonadota; Gammaproteobacteria; Enterobacterales; Enterobacteriaceae.
UGUGCCCUUGAGGCGUGGCUUCCGGAGCUAACGCGUUAAGUAGACCGCCUGGGGAGUACGGCCGCAAGGUUAAAACUCAAAUGAAUUGACGGGGGCCCGCACAAGCGGUGGAGCAUGUGGUUUAAUUCGAUGCAACGCGAAGAACCUUACCUGGUCUUGACAUCCACAGAAGUUUGCAGAGAUGCGAAUGUGCCUUCGGGAACUGUGAGACAGGUGCUGCAUGGCUGUCGUCAGCUCGUGUUGUGAAAUGUUGGGUUAAGUCCCGCAACGAGCGCAACCCUUAUCCUUUGUUGCCAGCGGUUAGGCCGGGAACUCAAAGGAGACUGCCAGUGAUAAACUGGAGGAAGGUGGGGAUGACGUCAAGUCAUCAUGGCCCUUACGACCAGGGCUACACACGUGCUACAAUGGCGCAUACAAAGAGAAGCGACCUCGCGAGAGCAAGCGGACCUCAUAAAGUGCGUCGUAGUCCGGAUUGGAGUCUGCAACUCGACUCCAUGAAGUCGGAAUCGCUAGUAAUCGUGGAUCAGAAUGCCACGGUGAAUACGUUCCCGGGCCUUGUACACACCGCCCGUCACACCAUGGGAGUGGGUUGCAAAAGAAGUAGGUAGCUUAACCUUCGGGAGGGCGCUUACCACUUUGUGAUUCAUGACUGGGGUGAAGUCGUAACAAGGUAACCGUAGGGGAACCUGCGGUUGGA